UACAUUAUAGUUUAUGAUGAACCUAAGUUUUUGAUACUUAUAGAUCAGUUUAAUUCUGUUAAUGUAA
Molecule: transfer RNA, 67 nt
Filed under: Tettigarcta crinita (hairy cicada)
Lineage: Eukaryota; Metazoa; Arthropoda; Insecta; Hemiptera; Tettigarctidae
Description: tRNA-Gln
Source: RNAcentral